CGGUUGAUCCUGCCGGACCCGACUGCCAUCGAAGUGGGACUAAGCCAUGCUAGUCGAACGUCCUUCAACCAUGCGAGGGGCGUGGCGUACGGCUCAGUAACACGUUGUCAACCUACCCUGAAGACGUGGAUAACCCCGGGAAACUGGGACUAAACCACGAUAGACCAAGACACCUGGAACGGAUCUUGAUCCAAAGGAAGGAUGAGCAUGUUCAUCUAUUCGCCUCAGGAUGGGACUGCGACCGAUCAGGUUGUUGGUGGAGUAAAAGCCCACCAAGCCUAUAACCGGUACGGGCUUUGAGAGAAGGAGCCCGGAGAUGGACACUGAGACAAGGGUCCAGGUCCUACGGGGCGCAGCAGGCGCGAAACCUUCGCAAUGCACGAAAGUGCGACGAGGCUACUUCGAGUGCCGUCCGCUGAGGAUGGCUUUUGUCAGGUCUAAAUAGCCUGGAGAAUAAGGGGAGGGCAAGUCUGGUGUCAGCCGCCGCGGUAAUACCAGCUCCCCGAGUGGUCGGGACGAUUAUUGGGCCUAAAGCAUCCGUAGCCUGCUCCGUUGGUCUUCUGUCAAAUUCAACGGCUUAACCGUUGAGCUGCAGGAGAUACCGCGGGGCUAGGAGGCGGGAGAGGUAGACGGUACUCCAUGGGUAGGGGUAAAAUCCUCUGAUCCAUGGAAGACCACCAGUGGCGAAGGUGGUCUACCAGAACGCGCUCGACGGUGAGGGAUGAAAGCUGGGGGAGCGAACCGGAUUAGAUACCCGGGUAGUCCCAGCUGUAAACGAUGCGAGCUAGGUGAUGGAGUGGUUCCGUACCAUUCCAGUGCCGCAGGGAAGCCGUUAAGCUCGCCGCCUGGGGAGUACGGUCACAAGACUGAAACUUAAAGGAAUUGGCGGGGGAGCACCACAAGGGGUGAAGCCUGCGGUUCAAUUGGAGUCAACGCCGGA
Molecule: ribosomal RNA, 940 nt
Filed under: uncultured archaeon
Lineage: Archaea
Description: bacterial SSU rRNA
Rfam family: Archaeal small subunit ribosomal RNA
Source: RNAcentral